ACUGACAGAGAUUUAAACCAGGUGGACAACACUGUGUCUGAUAUGGACAGGAGACACCAGCACUGCUCUGAUGACCUGCAGAGAAGAGAGGACACAAACAGACAGAGAUUUAAACCAGGUGGACAACACUGUGUCUGAUAUGGACAGGAGACACCAGCACUGCUCUGAUGACCUGCAGAGAAGAGAGGACACAAACAGACAGAGAUUUAAACCAGGUGGACAACACUGUGUCUGAUAUGGACAGGAGAAAGCAGCACUGCUCUGAUGACCUGCAGAGAGGACAGGAGACAAAGAGACAGAUGUACAGAAGACGUUACUUGAAUCGUCUUCCACAUACACGUGAAUAAUGUAUAGUCAUUUGUAAACCCACUGAUCUUGGUGCCCUUUGCUUAAUGUAUUCAACAUGACCCCGGGACAACUUACUCCUUCUAAGGCUGAGAAACAGGUGUGUGAAAAUAUAUGACAGAUAAUGACAACAAUACGACGGGGGGUUUCUGUAUGCAGACAUUGAAUAAUAUCAUGUUCUGUAUAGAUAUGACAACAAUACGACGGGGGUUUUCUGUAUGCAGACAUUGAAUAAUAUAAUGUUCUGUAUAGAUAUGACAACAAUACGACGGGGGUUUUCUGUAUGCAGACAUUGAAUAAUAUCAUGUUCUGUAUAGAUAUGACAACAAUACGACGGGGGUUUUCUGUAUGCAGAUAUUGAAUAAUAUCAUGUUCUGUAUAGAUAUGACAACAAUACGACGGGGGGUUUUCUGUAUGCAGACAUUGAAUAAUAUCGUGUUCUGUAUAGAUAUGACAACAAUACGACGGGGGUUUUCUGUAUGCAGACAUUGAAUAAUAUCGUGUUCUGUAUAGAUAUGACAACAAUACGACGGGGGGUUUUCUGUAUGCAGACAUUGACUAAUAUAAUGUUCUGUAUAGAUAUGACAACAAUACGACGGGGGUUUUCUGUAUGCAGACAUUGAAUAAUAUCAUGUUCUGUAUAGAUAUGACAACAAUACGACGGGGGUUUUCUGUAUGCAGACAUUGAAUAAUAUCAUGUUCUGUAUAGAUAUGACAACAAUACGACGGGGGUUUUCUGUAUGCAGACAUUGAAUAAUAUCAUGUUCUGUAUAGAUAUGACAACAAUACGACGGAGGGUUUUCUGUAUGCAGACAUUGAAUAAUAUCAUGUUCUGUAUAGAUAUGACAACAAUACGACGGGGGUUUUCUGUAUGCAGACAUUGAAUAAUAUCAUGUUCUGUAUAGAUAUGACAACAAUACGACGGGGGUUUUCUGUAUGCAGACAUUGAAUAAUAUCAUGUUCUGUAUAGAUAUGACAACAAUACGACGGGGGUUUUCUGUAUGCAGACAUUGAAUAAUAUCAUGUUCUGUAUAGAUAUGACAACAAUACGACGGGGGUUUUCUGUAUGCAGACAUUGAAUAAUAUCAUGUUCUAUACCAAAACAUAUUCUUGAAAACAAGUACAGCAUGUAAACCAGAAAUAAAGGCAGAUCAUAGUUUUAAUUCUGUGUCAACAAACUGUUCUAAAAAUAUGUAUCUUGUUCUUCUCGGCUCUGUUGGCUGGUGGAGUUGCUUCAUUGUUAAAUCUAUAUUUUUUUUAAAGGUAUGAUAAAUAUAUAUAUAUAUGUUUUAUAUGAAAAAGGGAUUGGUUUAAAACUGGAGAUUUUAUUUGAUAGAUUUAUAACAUUCAAUUAUGUUUGUUUUUUUUUACAUUUCUUUUAUGUUGAUAAAAUGUUUUGCCUUGAUGAGAACAUGGCAGGCAGGUAGAGGGUGACUAAAAACAAAAUGGCUUCCUUUCAAAACAAUCCCGUUCCGUGUUCACGUGCUAAUCGGAACUUGGACAUUUCAGACAUGCUAACUGGUUGUGGUUACACACGCGCCCGCGUUCAACCAGUUAGAAAGUCUGAAUUUCCUAGUUCCGACUAGCAAGUGAACACGGCGUUAAACCCCCCCAUUUUCCGCGCAGGGAUAUGACAUCAUCAGUAUGAAUCUGCUGCAGGUGUUUUGACGAAUGUUUAUAUGUUGUUGUUUAAAAUAAAAAUUUUUUUUUUUUUUAUCAUUUAAAUGAUUGAUUGUUUUUAAAAAAAAUCAUUUAAAUGAUUGCUUGUUUUUUUAAAACAUUUAAAUUAUUAAUUAAAUAAUUUUUUUAAAAUCAUUUUAAAUGAUUGAUUGUUUUUUAAAUUUUUAUCAUUUUAAUGAUUGAUUGUUUGAUUUUUUAAAACAUUUAAAUUAUUAAUUUUUUUUUUAAAUUUUUAUCAUUUUAAAUGAUUGAUUGUUUUUUAAAUUUUUAUCAUUUUAAUGAUUGAUUGUUUGAUUUUUUAAAGCAUUUAAAUUAUUAUUUUUUUUAUUUUUUUUUAAUCAUUUUUAAUGAUUGAUUGUUAUUUAGUUUUUUAAUCAGAAUGCUGUAUCUCUGUUAAUUGAUUGAAGGCAUCUACCUCAGUGUCCGCAUCACGUUUCAUUUCCAACAGCAGCUGUGACCCCUGGGGUCGUGUUCCAAUGGAAGACAACAGGAAGGGGACUACCUUGAGUUCAACAAUAAGAAACACUCACCCCGUGUUAACUAUGUCACCCCGUGUUACCCCGUGUUAACUAUGUCACCCCGUGUUAACUAUGUCACACCGUGUCACCCCGUGUUAACUAUGUCACCCCAUAUCACCCCAUGUUAACUAUGUCACCCCGUGUUAACUAUGUCACCCUGUGUUAACUAUGGCACCCCAUGUCACCCCGUGUUAACUAUGGCACCCCGUGUCACCCGGUGUUAACUAUGUCACCCCAUGUCACCCCGUGUUAACUAUGCACCCCGUGUCAGGCCCAGUUAAAACAACCAGUAAUGCCCUAUUCGAUGCAGCAUUGUGAUAAACCCUACUGUCUCCCUGGACUGCAGUACAACAUCAACCCAGUACACCAUCAACCCAGUACACCAUCAACCCAGUACACCAUCAACCCAGUACACCAUCAACCCAGUACACCAUAUUAUACAGUGGUAUAGAUAUCACCAUAUUAUACAGGGAACUCAUCACCGUCGACCCAGUCAGAUGUACUGGUAUAGAUAUCACCGUCGACCCAGUCAGAUGUACUGGUAUAGAUAUCACCAUCGACCCAAUCAGAUGUACUGGUAUAGAUAUCACCGUCGACCCAGUCAGAUGUACUGGUAUAGAUAUCACCAUCGACCCAGUCAGAUGUACUGGUAUAGAUAUCACCGUCGACCCAGUCAGAUGUACUGGUAUAGAUAUCACCAUCGACCCAGUCAGAUGUACUGGUAUAGAUAUCACCAUCGACCCAGUCAGAUGUACUGGUAUAGAUAUCACCAUCGACCCAAUCAGAUGUACUGGUAUAGAUAUCACCGAUCGACCCAGUCAGAUGUACUGGUAUAGAUAUCACCGUCGACCCAGUCAGAUGUACUGGUAUAGAUAUCACCAUCGACCCAGUCAGAUGUACUGGUAUAGAUAUCACCAUCGACCCAGUCAGAUGUACUGGUAUAGAUAUCACCCAUCGACCCAGUCAGAUGUACUGGUAUAGAUAUCACCCAUCGACCCAUCAGAUGUACUGGUAUAGAUAUCACCCAUCGACCCAGUCAGAUGUACUGGUAUAGAUAUCACCGUCGACCCAGUCAGAUGUACUGGUAUAGAUAUCACCAUCGACCCAGUCAGAUGUACUGGUAUAGAUAUCACCAUCGACCCAGUCAGAUGUACUGGUAUAGAUAUCACCCAUCGACCCAGUCAGAUGUACUGGUAUAGAUAUCACCCUCGACCCAGUCAGAUGUACUGGUAUAGAUAUCACCAUCGACCCAGUCAGAUGUACUGGUAUAGAUAUCACCCAUCGACCCAGUCAGAUGUACUGGUAUAGAUAUCACCGUCGACCCAGUCAGAUGUACUGGUAUAGAUAUCACCAUCGACCCAGUCAGACCUACUGGUAUUUGACUUCCAUCAUUACAGACAUCCAGUGUCUACAGGGCAGGACAGGGCCGUACGGGGCAGUAGGGGGCAGUAAGGGGCAGUAGGG
Molecule: long non-coding RNA, 4007 nt
Filed under: Salmo salar (Atlantic salmon)
Lineage: Eukaryota; Metazoa; Chordata; Actinopteri; Salmoniformes; Salmonidae
Description: lncRNA (ENSSSAG00000089824.1)
Source: RNAcentral